This 387-nucleotide long non-coding RNA is filed under the name Zonotrichia albicollis (white-throated sparrow). Its description in RNAcentral is "lncRNA (ENSZALG00000006032.1)". Lineage: Eukaryota; Metazoa; Chordata; Aves; Passeriformes; Passerellidae. The record is from RNAcentral.
AUUUAAUUGAAAGUACAGGGGAAAUUCAGGAAUGUAAAGGCUCUUAGUGCAAAUGAGAAGUAGGCUUCCAAGAGCUUUUCAUCUGAUGAUUGUGAAGUGAUUCAUGCUGCACUGCUACUGCUGCCAUUAAGGAUGAGAAGACAGAAUGAACUGUGGGAGAUUGACAGUUUUGUAAAUCAGGACAUAAAUACUGAGUUGCAGGCGCCUGAAAACUCAGGUACUAUCCCAUGGGGACCAGAUGGCACGUUACAUGCAAAAGCCAAGAACUGAAACUUUAAGACCCCCUGUUUAUAGCGGAAAAGAAAUUUGUGAGGCCUGGCUACUCUUUGCAUAGGUGUAAGUUUAUACAACAGCAGUUAUCCCUUGUGUCCAUCCCUGUCUCUGUCU